UAGACACUUAGUUAUAGUGUGAAAAUUGUAUUUAACGUUCUUUUUUACAUACGAUUUUUUUUUUUUAAAUAAGAUUUUCAGUAGUAUAAAAUUUUAAGCAUUAAAAGGAUUUAGACUUAGAAAUAAUCUUGAUAAUUAACAAAAUUUGUGCCAGCAGUUGCGGUUACACAGAUAAUUAAAUUUAAUUUUUUUUAGUAUAAAUUAAUUGGUUAUUUUUUUUAAAAAAUAAAAUUGGAAGGUGAAAUUUUAAUUUUUAAGUAUAAAAUUUAUUAAAUGAAGUUUAGAAAUUUUUAGUUAAACUAGGAUUAGAUACCCUAUUAUUAUAAAUGUAUAAUUAAAAACUAAUUGAUUAAUAGUUAUGGUCUUUAAAAAUAAAUAAUUUGGCGGUAUUUUAGUCUUUUCAGAGGAACCUGUUUUAUAAAUGAUAAUCCACGAUUAAUCAAUCUUAAAUUAGAAAUUUAUAUAUCAUCGUUAUUAAAUAUUUUAAAAGAAGUUAAUAUUUAAAAAAUAAAAUUUUAUUUUAAUUCAGAUCAUGGUAUAGUUUAUAUUUAAGUAAUAAUGGGUUACAAUAUUAAUAAAUUUGGAAUUUAAAUUUAAAAUUUAAAUGAAAUUGGAUUUGAAAGUAAUUAUUUUUAUAUAAUAAUAAUGAUUAAGCUCUAAAAUAUGCACAUAUCGCCCGUCACUUUCGUUAUAAAAUGAAAUAAGUCGUAACAAAGUAGAUUUACUGGAAAGUGUAUCUAGAUGAUC
RNAcentral lists this non-coding RNA (747 nucleotides) under Coccinellidae sp. 1 EF-2015. The record is from RNAcentral. Lineage: Eukaryota; Metazoa; Arthropoda; Insecta; Coleoptera; Coccinellidae.